RNAcentral lists this ribosomal RNA (1622 nucleotides) under marine metagenome. Its description in RNAcentral is "bacterial LSU rRNA". It matches the Rfam family "Bacterial large subunit ribosomal RNA", at positions 1005 to 2648 of the family's 2925-position model. The record is from RNAcentral.
CCAUUGUCAAGAGGGAAACAGCCCAGAGCACCAGUUAAGGCCCUUAAAUAAUUGCUAAGUGGUAAAGGAGGUGGGAGUGCAUAAACAAUCAGGAGGUUUGCUUAGAAGCAGCAAUCCUUUAAAGAGUGCGUAAUAGCUCACUGAUCGAGUAAACCUGCGCCGAAAAUGUAUGGGACUAAGUAAUUUGCCGAAACUGUGCGAUAUAUAUUUAUAUAUCGGUAGGGGAGCGUUCUGUUGUAGGUCGAAGUAUUAGCGUAAGCGGAUAUGGACGAAGCAGAAGUGAGAAUGUCGGCUUGAGUAACGAAAAUAUAGGUGAGAAUCCUAUACCCCGAAAACCCAAGGUUUCCUCCGGAAGGCUCGUCCGCGGAGGGUAAGUCAGGACCUAAGGCGAGGCUGAAAAGCGUAGUCGAUGGACAACGGGUUAAUAUUCCCGUACCGUUUUUUAUUGAUAUCGAGGGACGGAGAAGGCUAAGCUAGCCGGAUAUUGGUUUUACCGGUUUAAGCGUUCAAGAUGUUGAGAAGCGGCGAAAACGCUUUGAGUUGAGACGUGAGUACGAGACGCUAAGGCGUCGAAGUAGUGGAUGUCAUACUUCCAAGAAAAGCUUGCACUGUCAUAAAUAAAAAACGCCUGUACCAUAACCGACACAGGUGGGUAGGUAGAGUAUACUAAGGGGCGCGAGAUAACUCUCUCUAAGGAACUCGGCAAAAUGACUCCGUAACUUCGGGAGAAGGAGUGCCUUAUUCGUAAGGCUGCAAUAACAAGAUCCAAGCAACUGUUUAUCAAAAACACAGGUCUCCGCUAAGUCGUAAGACGAUGUAUGGGGGCUGACGCCUGCCCAGUGCCAGAAGGUUAAAGAAGUUGGUUAGCAUUUGCGAAGCUAGUGACUGAAGCCCUGGUGAACGGCGGCCGUAACUAUAACGGUCCUAAGGUAGCGAAAUUCCUUGUCGGGUAAGUUCCGACCCGCACGAAAGGCGUAAUGAUUUGGAUACUGUCUCGGAGAGGGGCUCGGUGAAAUAGACUUGUCUGUGAAGAUGCGGACUACCUGCACCAGGACAGAAAGACCCUAUGAAGCUUUACUGUAACUUGAAAUUGAAAUUGGACUUUAUUCGCGCAGUAUAGGUGGGAGGCGUUGAUUAUAAUCUUGCGGGAUUAUUGGAGCCAUCAGUGAGAUACCACUCUUAUAAUGUUAGAUUUCUAACUUUGAAUCAUUAUCUGGUCAAAGGACAGUUUCAGGCGGGCAGUUUGACUGGGGCGGUCGCCUCCCAAACGGUAACGGAGGCGUACAAAGGUUUCCUCUGAACGGUUAGAAAUCGUAUCUAGAGUGUAAAGGCAUAAGGAAGCUUGACUGUGAGACCUACAAGUCGAGCAGGGACGAAAGUCGGUCUUAGUGAUCUGACGGUACUGAGUGGAAAGGCCGUCACUCAACGGAUAAAAGUUACUCUAGGGAUAACAGGCUGAUCUCCCCCAAGAGUUCACAUCGACGGGGAGGUUUGGCACCUCGAUGUCGGCUCAUCGCAUCCUGGGGCGGUAGUACGUCCCAAGGGUUGGGCUGUUCGCCCAUGAAAGCGGUACGCGAGCUGGGUUCAGAACGUCGUGAGACAGUUCGGUCCAUAUCCGGUGU